Molecule: ribosomal RNA, 485 nt
Filed under: uncultured bacterium
Lineage: Bacteria
Description: partial 16S ribosomal RNA
Rfam family: Bacterial small subunit ribosomal RNA
Source: RNAcentral
GAUGAACGCUGGCGGCGUGCUUAACGCAUGCAAGUCGAACGAUGAACCGGGUGCUUGCACUCGGGGAUUAGUGGCGAACGGGUGAGUAACACGUGAGCAACCUGCCCCUGACUCUGGGAUAAGCGCUGGAAACGGCGUCUAAUACUGGAUAUGUCCCGUCACCGCAUGGUGUGCGGGUGGAAAGAUUUUUCGGUUGGGGAUGGGCUCGCGGCCUAUCAGCUUGUUGGUGAGGUAAUGGCUCAUCAAGGCGUCGACGGGUAGCCGGCCUGGGAGGGGGACCGGCCACACUGGGACUGAGACACGGCCCAGACUCCUACGGGGGGCAGCAGUGGGGAAUAUUGCACAAUGGGCGGAAGCCUGAUGCAGCAACGCCGCGUGAGGGAUGACGGCCUUCGGGUUGUAAACCUCUUUUAGCAGGGAAGAAGCGAGAGUGACGGUACCUGCAGAAAAAGCACCGGCUAACUACGUGCCAGCCGCCGCCGUAA